CAAACCCUAGAGCGGACCUUUACAAAGAAGGGUGUUUGUGAGUGUGCAGAGAAGAAAGAAAUCUGCAGAGAGAGAAAAAUGGCGGAGCAUUUGGCGUCGAUAUUCGGAACCGAGAAGGACAGGGUGAACUGCCCCUUCUACUUCAAGAUCGGCGCGUGCAGGCACGGAGACCGUUGCUCGCGUCUGCAUACCAAGCCCAGCACUAGCCCCACUCUCCUCCUCUCCAACAUGUAUCAACGCCCCGAUAUGAUCACUCCCGGCGUCGACCCUCAGGGCCAGCCCAUCGAUCCCAAGAAGAUCCAAUCCCAUUUCGAGGAUUUCUACGAAGAUUUGUUUCAGGAGCUGAGCAAAUAUGGUGAUAUCCAGAGCCUGAACAUAUGUGAUAAUUUGGCUGACCACAUGGUUGGUAAUGUCUACGUCCAGUUUAGGGAGGAAGACCAAGCUCAGAAUGCCCUCCAGAAUCUUGUCGGCCGGUCUUACGAAGGGCGACCAAUCAUUGCUGAUUUCUCUCCUGUGACGGAUUUCCGUGAAGCAACUUGUAGGCAAUACGAAGAAAAUGUAUGCAAUCGAGGUGGAUACUGCAAUUUCAUGCAUCUGAAAAAGAUUAGCAGGGAAUUGAGACAGCAAUUGUUUCGGAAGAGUAGAAGAAGACAUGACCGCAGUAGAAGCAGAAGCCGUAGUCCUCGCCAUCGUGGCUAUGAGGAGCGUCAUGGCUCUGGGAGAAGGGGUGGUGAUAGCCGUCACCAUGAUAGAGGCAGAAGACCUCGAAGCAGAAGCCCAGGUCGAAGGAGUGGCCGAAGCAGAAGUCCUGGGGGAAGGAGAAACAGGAGCCCAGUUAGAGAAAGCAGUGCGGAGAGAAGGGCCAAAAUUGAACAGUGGAAUAAGGAAAGGGAGAAUCCUGAACCUGCUAAAGAUCGUAAUAAUGAAGAAGCCGAGGAUGGUAACCAUGGCUUGGAACAUAACGAUGGGCGAUCGCGUUCCUAUAACGACAAUCAGCAACCAUCAGAGCAAGGAAAUGGAGAUUAUGACUUCUAAAUUCUAUGCAGUUAAUCUUGGUGCGGAUAAUUCACCAUUUUCUCCCUUUCCUCAUUCCAAAGAAAUAGUAUCUAUGUUUAGGACGAAUAGCAAAUGAAACAGGCCAUAUGGUUAAACAUAUUUUGAACUGCCGAAAAAUCCUAAAAUAAAUUUUCAAUUAUGGGAAUAGGCAUACAUUCAUGUUCGGUGAAGUCCGUACUGACUCUAUAUAAGCUGCUAUAGAUAACUCGCUGUUUAUACAUAUAUGAAAUGUAAGCAUGCCAUUGCCCCCCGCCCACCAUCACCAUCACCAUCACCAUCACCAUCACCAUCACCCACCCCAUGGUUAGCAAAGACUGCCUUUUUGUUACUGCUAGUAGUAAAAUAUCAGUUGGUGGAGAAGGAGCUAUUUUGCCUUGUGGAAAAUAACUUAAGACUAUUUUCUCAAUUAUUUGUGUUUCUGUUCGAACCAUCUGUGUUCCUUGACUAUGUUAGGUUCCCCCAACCCACCCCCACUCACCCCAAUCAUCCCAACCAAUUACUGGGAUGACUAACAUAAUUAACAGGGUUGGAUACUUCUGCUCGGGCAUGCUUUUGGUGUAGCAGCUUAUGUCAAUAUUUGUAUACAGGUUAUCCAGUUUUGACUGCAGAAAAGAUCCAAGAUACAGCCAGUGUAUGUGAUGGCUGAGUAUGUAAGUGCUUGUGAUACUUGAUUCGACACUGAAGUGAACUGGCUUCUUCAGAGCAACCGUCGGGUGUGCAAUGUCUUUUAGUUUUAGAAUUUUAUUUAGUACUCGGCAAUUAUUCCCCUUUUCUUUAGAAGAUUAUUGUUUCCUUUUGAAUUCGUAAGGUGUGUAACAUAUAAAACUCGUUUAUUGCAUCUUUCUGUUGUGACUAA
Salvia hispanica is the source of this 1912-nucleotide RNA transcript. It is a transcript of the gene named splicing factor U2af small subunit B-like, with no coding region annotated. The record is from RefSeq and is a predicted model, not a curated record. Lineage: Eukaryota; Viridiplantae; Streptophyta; Magnoliopsida; Lamiales; Lamiaceae.